Non-coding RNA from Nomia melanderi (Alkali bee), 8266 nucleotides. The record is from RefSeq and is a predicted model, not a curated record. Lineage: Eukaryota; Metazoa; Arthropoda; Insecta; Hymenoptera; Halictidae.
CUUCUUUUUGGUUCAAGUGUUCUAUUAUUGUAAACAUGUUUACAGUGCACUACGCAACGGGAAAGUGGCGCUCGCAUUUUCAUUUAUAAGUGAACAGAUGUUCUGCGCAGUCUUAUAAAUUAUAGACUGAACAACAGUAUUUUGUUCGUAAAGACAGUUACUAGUUGUGAUACUAUUGCCGAUACGAAUACUUGAAAAUAAGCGUGCAAAGUCCUGCAGACACCUUCUAAAUUUAUACCUGAUAUUUGCAGGCUUUCCCGAUACACGUGCGUAGAUAAAUCAAACCGACGAAGAAUAAACAAAUCGUUGUGCGUUGCUCUGCUGCGCUAUCGGUCAUUGCGGAGGAGUCAUUGCGACUUGGAAUUUUUGCAAGUAUUAUUAAAACUGAUUAUAAAACUUCCCAUUAUCUAUCGGAUUAUAUUACUCCGAAAAUAUAGAAUCCUCGCGAUUACUCGAGGAAAAACGAAGAAUUCUCAUGAAAUAUGCAGAAAAUUGAUAACACGUUCUCAUAGAUUUUCUUCGCUUAAGCAACUCUUCAUCGAGCGGAAGAGGCGAAUUAUGCUUUCACCCUUCUAAAGAAAGGAAAACCGAAGAUUUCACCUUAAAUUUAACAGUGCUCCAUUCCCACUUUGCAAAUUGAAAAGAAAUUAAUCGUAAGACUUCAUUUGAUAAAGUAACACUAAAUAGCUUAGACUAAAACUCUCUCUCCGUUUAAAAACAAAGGUUUACACUACUUCCAUAAUAGAAAACACGAGUUUAUCAGAUGAUCUCACGAGUAGUGCUUCUUUCAGACUAUUUUUGAAUUUCCUACAAAAUUAAUAGCACAAUUUCUUUCAUGUAAACGGUGCUUCAUUGACUGUUUACAGAGAGAGGACAAAGAACGCGAUGAAUGCGCUGAGUUGAUGCAUACACGCGGGCGUGCAUCUUGAAAUCGUGGAUUCGCAAAAUUGUACGAACCGCGUUUCGCCGGGGCUUUAUUUGGUUAUGAAUAAUCCCCAUUGGAAAAGAGGGAAAACCGUGCUUUUACCGUGAAAUUGAUGUUCAUAAAUAGCAAGGUGCGGAGUCGGUGUGACUGCAUCGGUGUAACGCGAAAGGGGGGGAAGUCGGUCGAUGCCGUGGAACCGUGGCACGCUGGAAUCACGUGCACAUCAGCAGGCAUCCGCGUGUUCGGCCGACCCGCUCCGCUCGACACGCUCUCGCUGCCCAUCGAUGAUAGAUCUAGAAGAGGACUUGCCGCAACUGUGGUUACAGUUACCGGUCAGAAAUAGAACUCGACCUGAAAAACAGAGUCAACUAAAAUCAACAAGGCGUUCAUCUAAUUCGCACGCAACGGACGAUUUGACGAAAUGGAAACUUUUCACGGGGCCAAAGGUGUCACUAUAUAGCACAUGAACAUGGUGCGAUAUAACGAUGACGCAGUCCUAGGAACACGUGCAUCGUAACGAACAACAGAUUUAUUAAGCCAUCUGAAAUGGAUGACGCCAACACUAACUAACAAUGUAAAUGUGGAAUCAUAAGCGAAUAUCGUGAAGGACGAAUCAAGGUUGGCUGCUCACCUUACGAAUUAACCCUUCCUGGAGCGUCGUUGAUGAUGUCCGGCCACGGAACCGGGACAACGGCGGCGUACACGCGUUACGAUGCCGAUCAAUCGGAAACUCUUGGGGAAAAAGCCUCGAGUUCGUGUUCGAUCGCGGAUGAUCGCACAGCAAGCUUUCGUGGUAUUCUGAUGGAUUUUAAUGUGGAGGGCAGGAUUCAUGCCCAGUGAGGGCGCUUCAAGGGGAACUGGCAUCGCGCCGACUCCGAAAAGUCUGCAAAUUCAACGUUGAACUUGCGACCCGUGGAAGGGAUGCCAUCGAUCGCACACCGAACGCGAACUCCAUGGCCCGUAAGUAUUGCAACAACCCCUCUGUCUCGUAUCGUUCUAUUUUAUUCUCGUACCAACAGCUGUUGCCUUUAAACGCCGGAAGUGUUCCAAUGAUCCGAGUACAGCCGAUUUAUCCUUUUUAUGGCCGGCAAUGGGAACAGAAUAUUCUUGUAGUUUUUUUCUUUCUAAAAUUUAAAUUCAAACGCAAAGUGUCGCACCACCCCGGUGUCGUUGAGCGUCCAAUUCACGCUUCCUUUCGUUUAAUUUAAUUCUUCUCGUGCCCGAUAAUUUGUAUUAAAAUGUUCGCAUAAUACAUUCGCGGUAGUUGGUAACAUUUGUGAUUCAUGCGAGAGAAAAUUGAAAUAUGCGCAAAAUAUGAAAAAGAUUACGAGUCUAAUGGAAAGUGGUAUUCCAUGGAAUUUGCAACUCUAAUAAUACAACUAAUUUAUUUCAACGAUCUGUAUAUUGCAAUAACGUUAAAUUCGAAACCUAUGUUUAUUGCAGACUUCUAGCGAACAUUUUAUUAAUGAAACAUCGAAGUGAUGUGAUAAAUGUUUAACGACGUGGCAGCUACAGCGCUAUCACCGCGUCCUUGUCUUUUUCUGCGAAUUUUUUAUUCUAUUCCUGCCUUUAUGUAGAAUAUGUCUUGCUUCUUAUGCUUUUACCAGUUCUCCAUGUGACUACUUUUAAUCGCUAAACGUGCUACCCUUGAAGUGUUUGCAUUUACAAACGAAAUCCUCGUGAACCCCAACACUCUUCACUUUCUCUUUUCAUUGGGUUAACACUUUCUCUGAGUUUUCCCAUGCGCUCUUGCUUUUGUUGUUUUUUCCCACUAGCUGUCUCGUUUUAUUCCACCUCAUUCUGGCCUUUUCUCUAUCUCUUCAGUUAUUUUAUCCGAAAAACAACUAGAUCUACCCAACUGUGCGCGAGUACGUGUUGUCCUCGUGGUUCUUAAAUUUUUAUUUUAUUUUUUUAUUAUAUCUCAAUGUGUUCUACCGGUUCUGUUUAACCCAAUAAGGCAAAGAUCCACUUUGCUUCGCUUCAAUAGGUUCCAACUCGUUUCAGUCUGUCCUAGACUGCUCGGAUUCAUUCAAGUCCGCUGUGGUCAGCUUCAAACUACUCAAAUCUGCUUCAUCUACUUCUCAAGUCGACUCUGUUUUGCUGUAAUACAACAAUAAAACCUCGAUGCUUAUAAAUGAAUCUCAGUUGUUUCAUUUGGGCAGCAUAUUAUAAGGAUAAGUGCUUAGAAAUAAACAAAAUAAAAAACGAGAGUAGAAAGAGAAGCGUGGAUAAUUAUCUUAUUGAAAUUGAUAUAAGAAAUGGAUGGUCUCGUGCAUUAUUGAUUAUCUAAUUAACUAACAAAAUUCAAUUGUUGAAAUGCUAGUUUGUUGAUUCAUUUUAAAUGUGCCAAGUAAUUGAAAAAAUCAUUCGUCGAGAUUCAUUUAGUUUACUUCAGUCGAAUUGUGUGAAGAACUUUGAACGUUCAAUUGCAUUUAACGUAGACUGGAUUAGUGGAACGUUACAUUGAAAGAAUUCAAAGUUCAACCCAAUAAUCAAUUAUAAAGAAGGUUUAAGAGCUUAAUAUAUAUUAAAUUGUAUGAGGGAAUAACAAUAAGUAGUUUUCUCUUUAGCUUAUUUUCAAUUAUCAUUAAAAAUGAAUAAAAUUGUAUUUAUUAAACAUUAAACAUGCAAAUAUUACAAUAACUCGUUUCUGACAACUCAGAUAGAUCCUCCGUUCGUAAUAUAUUAUUUCAUGAUGAAAUUUAACUGUUUACUUUCCAUUGAUAAAAGUUUCGUUUCAUACUUUUUAAUGCCGAUGAGAUAGUUCGAAGUUAAUAUAACUCUUACGUAGCGCUUACAACUCUGUAAAGAAUAUAAUCGUUUAACUUAAAUUAUUUAACAUCCAAAAUAGAUAUUAAUUACUAACUUUCUUGUAAUACGUACUAAUCAUUAUUUUUCACCUUCAAGUUGAUAGUGGUAGCGACGUAAUGCAGCUAAGCGUAAUCUUUCUGUUUCCAAAGCCUGCUCUAAUUCCAGUACGCGAACCUGCGCCUCCAUUUCUAAUCGCUUAGCUUGAUGCAGACUUAGCCCAGAAAUAUCUAAAUCAUCUAUAAAAUAUUGGAAAUAUUAAACAUUUUAGUCUUGUGUGUCUUUUGUAAGAAAAAGGAAGAAAAUAUCGAAGAAAGUAAAUUUAUUCGUGCAUUAUAUGUAUGUAAAGAAACAAUUACCAUUUUCUUCAACGAGUUGACUACAAUUUUUAGCAGUCGCCACUACGCUUCCUGUUGCUUGUGUCACAUCCCUCGAUGCUUCAGAAAGCGCAGCCAAGUUAUUGCUAUUCCUAUUUGCUUUCACUCUACUUGCAACUACUAACUGAGCUGUUGACGCGGCAAUGCCCUGCGACGCAACGACCAGUUGUUCAAAUUUACCAUUUCCAGCAACAACUUUGUCUGCUGCUUCCCUGUGUGCAUCAAUACAUUUUGUAGUUAAAAAAUAAUAUGUUACGAUAGAUCGUUUAUACUUACAGUAACAAAUUAGCACCCAUCGCAACUGCCUUCGCUGCUGAUAUAAGUCCUUCAGACCAUUGAUGAUUACGUUUAUAGAAUUCUGUAGCAGAUGCUGUACCCUAAUAUUAAAAAAAUUUCCAAUAUUUUAACCACUUAUUAUAAUAAUAAUAAUAAUAAUAAUAAUAAUAAUAAUAAUAAUAAAUACAAAGUUCGUACCUUUCCUUGCUCCACGAUUUCGGCUUGCAAAAAUCGUGACUUUUGAACUAACUUUCUAAUACACUUCAUCAGUUCUGUACACGAAUCCAAAAUUUUCCCGUUUACCUCCAAUUUUAAUCCUGAGUCCGCAGCUCGCGAUUUUUCCAACAUAUCCUGAUUAAAUGUUACGAAAUAUGUUACCAUACAAAACAGUGUUUUAAUUAACACGGCAAAGCACAAUAUACCUGUAUUCUGUUGGCAGCUUCUUCUAUUGCUUUAUCCAUGCUUAAAAGUUCCUUUUCCACUAAACUGCCUAUUACUUCAACGUUCCCCUGGCCACUAGACAGCGUGGCAGCGAGUUCACAUAUUUUCUUAAAUUGUUGUCUUACGUCAUUAAUUUGGCCAACAGUCAUCGGUGAUUUUUCUUUUAUGUAACUAAACAUAGUUAAAGAUUGUACUCCUAAUUGUUUACAUUCAUCAGUCAAUUCUAAAAUAAGAUGUAAUGUAGAAUAAGAAAUGCUAUAUUAGCCGAAUUUUAUUUAACCCUUUGAGUGUUGAAUAUUCGCAGCCGAAACGUUCCGUGUGAACAGGAUAUUAUUUUGCUUAGCUUAUCGUCUGAAGAUCGAUGCAGUAUGUUAAUUCAUACAAGGCAUAAUUAAGUUUUAAUUGUUAUUCUUCAGUUUCGUCAAAUAAAACAUAAAUAAAAAACACGUAUAUUCAUUUGAUACACUUGCAAUUGUUACCGGGACACGUGUGAGAUUGAAAAGAUCGAACAACGCAUAUAUGCGUGUAUAGUCCACAGCGAUGACUUUCACCGGACAUAUAUACACGUCAAUAGCACUCAAAGAGUUAACUUUAAACACUAUUCUAACUUACUAUCGCCCAAUGCGAUAUCGAUAGAAGUAUUCGAUGUAGAUUUUGCAUGAAUCAAGUAGAGUCCCAAAAUAUAGGCAACAUGUAUUGCACUUUUAAUGAGCAUUUUUCCUUUCGUUGUAUCGCAUACAUAACCAGUAUACGUUGCAUCUAAUACAUCUAACGAUUUUACUGUCGAUUCCUCUAACCGUUCAAGGUACUGAGGUGUGCAAGUUAAAUCAGACAUUGCUGGAUUGUCUAUAGCACUCAACGAAUAUUGUAUUAUAUCUUCUGCUUCAGAUAUACAAUUUACUGAAACAAACGUGUAAUAUUACGCAUACAACCCUAAUUUAUUUAUCAGCACAUUGCUAAAGAAUAAUUAAGAAUACUUACACAAUAACUCAUACAGCAUAGUAUCAGCACGUACAUUCAUUUCAUUGCGGCAUCGCUCAGUCUCAACUUCUAGUUUUUCAAUCUUUAAAUCUAACUCUUCUUUCUGUGCUAAUAAAUCAUGCAGGUCGCCUUCUAAAGCCGUUUUUUCAGAAGUUAUAAAAUGAUUUUUGGCAAUCAACGCCUAAAAUAUUACAUUUUUACCGGAACGAAAUAAAAGAAUAGUAACGUAAGCUUUGAAUCAAAAGAAAGCUAUUAACCAAGUUUUCAGCUUUCGUGGUAUCCAGUUGUUGUUUCAUGUCGUCCAAAUCCUGUUGCGCUUCGACGAUCUUUUGCCCUUCUUGUUCAUUUAUGGCUGGGGCCUGCACCAGCUCAUCGAGUCUACGUUCUACCUCGAUUCGUCGUCGUUGUGCUUCCUCUUGCGACAUUUUCAGUAACCCAAGUUGCUUGUCUACAUCUGCUUUCUGUAAAAUAAAAGAUAAAAUCAUUCAGUAUUAAUGUAGUAUUUUUAAACAUUUCAAGAAAUAAAAUUUUUACUUUUCUAAUUAAACUGAUAUGUUCCUCCCUUAAUUUCGCAUACACAUCUUUCAGCUUUUGGAACUUUUCUUCCAAAGUUUUAUACUUUACUGAAAAAAAGGAAUAAGUAAUAAAUAUAUUACACAUGUAUUUUAAAAUACAAGAUUCUGAAUUCACCAACCUUCACUUUCAUGAACUUUUACCAUCAUGUCUGCCUUUUGCUUCAAAGAAUCUUGAUUAAUUUGUUUCUCUUGUUCUAUCUCGUCACACUAAACAUUUACAGAAAAAACGUAUAUUUACCGUGUUUGUUUAACAUUAUACCAACAAUUGCUUAUAACGUUUCUACCUUGGUAAACAAAUUAGAUUCAAGUUGUGUCACUCGCAUCUGGAGCUUUUCCACAAUUUGCUGAUGCUCGGUCAAUACGCGAUGCAGUUCUUGUCUUUGGCGACUAUUUUCUUGAUGUAAAUGAUCGAUAAGACUUUCUCUAAAAUUCAAAUGAGUAAUGAUAAUAUUUCUUCAUUGCAAAGACAAAUAAUAAAAUAAUGUUUAAAUUUCAAAUAUGCCUCGAUUUACCUUUCUGCUAUUGUGUCCGGAGAAAUUGAACCAUUUCGUGUUGAAUCCAGUUGAUCGCCGGGUAACGAACUCGUGUCAGAUGUAUCAAUUAGACUAUCCACAACUGUUUCGCUAUCCAAAGACUCUUCUGGUGGCAAAACGACUCUCGGUGUGACGUAUGUCCGUAGUUCUGAUUGUAUUAAAAAGUUUGGUGGAUUCUAGAACAAUAAAAUUAAAUGUAAUUUAAAUUUUAAUGAAAACUCGCUAUUCUCGAAUUUUAUAAGUCCACGGUGUUUACCGGAACGAUCAAUUAUUUGGAUAAAACGGCACACUUACCUCUGGUAACGAAGGUAUAGUUAUAAGUGACUUAAAAUACUGCCUUUGUUUCACUGUAUUAUAAAAUUUCUUCAGUUCAUGAAACUGUUUGGAGAAUCGGUCACGAUGACCAGCUAAAGUGUCAGCUGGCAAAGCGUUAUGUAGUUUGAAUAAAAUUUUCACGCAAUAAUCAUAGAGCUGCGAUGCAUCUAAGACGCAUGGUAUUAAUGGUGCUAGUCGACACUGUCCGCUAACGGUCAUGGAAUUCGAAGGUGUAUUCAUCAACGAAGUGGUAACUGAAACCAAAACUACGAAUUGGUAAAUGUGUACUCUGGCACAACAAAAGGAUCACUGAGAAACUAUCAAGCAAAAUGAAAAGAACACUUUUCAGUUCAUUGAAGUUUUAAGUUGGAGCUAUAUAACAAGAUUUAGCGCAUACCCACCUGCGCGUUGUAAAUUUAAAAUAUCAUCCAUAUAGUCGAACAUUUCAACUGACAUUUGAAAACUGAAAAAGAAAAAAAAUCGUACCACAGAAUUGGAUAAAAUUCAGUUCUGAAGAGUGGUCUAUCAUCGAAGCGGUUUUGUAUUUUCUCUAACGAACUUACUAUACAUUGAUGUCAUUUUCUCCGAUAGCUUCCAAUUCCUCCGCCGUUACUUGAAGAUUCCCCGGUAUCCGUGGAUUUCUCUUGUGAAAGUCUAAUUUCGUUAUCAACAGUCUUAUAUAUAACUGAAUCAACUGGCCGUAACCUUCUCGAAGGUGUUGCCAUAGUUUCCCAAUGUCCUCUAGUUUCGCCCGGUACCGCUGAGAGUCUGGAAUCACUUUUGGGUGACCUUCCCGCAGUAUUUUGUGUAAAACAUGACAAAAUUUCCACGCGACUAUUUGAUUCUCUUGUAGAGGCUGCCUUAACAUGUACAUCCAAAAGAUCAUUCCACUCUUUUCUUGAUAUGUACCAAUAAUCGCGCCUAUGUUUCUAUAAGGUAUAAUACAGUGUAAUCGAAAAAAUCAAUUUGUAUAUAAUUCAAAAUAAUAAAUGACUUGUAACAUAUAACAAAUAAACGAAUGUCCAUUCAUUUACU